RNA transcript from Dermacentor albipictus, 3848 nucleotides. RefSeq lists it as uncharacterized. The record is from RefSeq and is a predicted model, not a curated record. Lineage: Eukaryota; Metazoa; Arthropoda; Arachnida; Ixodida; Ixodidae.
GCAACAUGCUGAUAACGUUGCUCUAAAGUGGUCUUUUUCACAUUGCAGCAAUAUUGUCAAAUGAUGAAUAAAUGUUGAACCACCUACGAUGACAUUGCUAUAACAUUCAUGCUAUAGGCUAUAAUUGUCUGCCCUCUCGGGCUAUUUCUGAAGCCCAAAUAGAAAAGCCGGUACCAGCUAGAUCACUUCUCCUCACCAUUACUACAUUAAUUUUUUUUAUUUUUUGCUUCGAGCGCAAGCUUGCAUGUGGUGUGCAUACAGCUGGCGAGCAGUGCAAGUGUACUUAACUAUGUCACACUGAUGUAAAAAUAUAUACCUGUAUCGAAAAUAUUUCUAAACAGCUGAAAUAUCUGUUUUUUUAUUAAGCAGGCGGUCUAAAUAAAAACUGCCGAAAAAAUUGAGUUCUGGUUUCACUGACGCUCCGCAGUCUAAUGGCCAUGGAGAUCAUCACAAAUCCAAAUCGCGGUACAGCCGAGAGCCCAUUUCCUUCUUCCAUGCCUUCUUCCAUGCGACAGCCAGCCCUGCGACGCGCGCUCAUCUAAAAACGUGCCACUCAGCGGCAGUCGUGUCAAAGUCCGCGUUUUUUGUUGUUCUAGCAUAGUUUUUUUUGCAGUCGCCGUGCCUGUGCUUUUUUUCUUGUAGCUUCUCUGCAAUUCAACUGAAAUGGCGCAGGCUUGCUCCGAGGAUGACCUCAGUGGUAAGUGAUUUCUACUCAUUGUUGUGCUGUAACACGUGUUGGUUGGCACAAAGCCAUGCCCUUCGUGAUGGUUUUAAGUGCUACAUUCGUUGCAUCAUGAAGAGAGUGAAGCGUUCACUAAGUGAAGUGUCCAUUCGGCAACGACGCCGAAGAAUAGCAGAGGCUGUUCACGGCGAACUAGAAAAUUGUUUGGCCGUUGUUGAUAAUGGUCGUGACAGCAGAUUGUGCGCAUCAGGAGCAGAGCAGGAUCAAUACGCCUUUUUGUCGCAUAAUGUCGUUUUAUCCUCUUUAUCAGUGCCAGGCGAGGACGCAGAUGAAAGCCGCAGUUCCAACUUGUCAGAUUUUGGCACCUCUAGCGGCAUCUCUGACAUAGGAAGUGCAACGUCAGACUUGUCGCGGAUUUCUGACGAUGACGAGUUGGUGGAGUGUGAAGAUAGGAUGACACCUGAGUCUGGUGCAGCUACUCAGUGUCUAGAGUACGACUUGCGUGUAUGGGCUAUUAAUAGUAAAUUGCCUGCUUCACACCUGAAUUCCCUGCUUAAAGUGCUCAAGCCAUACCAUCCAGAGUUACCCUCGGAUGCUAGAACAUUGCUAAAGACGCAGAGGCAUACUGAUCUGGCAGUGAUGACCGGUGGUCGUUACCACUAUUUUGGAAUUUCUCGUUCUUUGGAAGAACAUGUUGCACAUGUUCCUGCAGAUUGUCGGACAUUGUCACUCAUUGUGAACGUAGACGGCCUUCCGCUCUCCCGCAGCUCGAGAAAGCAAUUCUGGCCGAUUCUCGUGCUUGUAAAGGAAAGUUCACACUCCUCUCCAUUUGUUGCUGCUCUCUAUGAGGGUGACAGCAAGCCUGGAGAUGUGACCUUGUACUUAAGUGAUUUUGUCUCCGAAAUAAGGAAGCUGCUUGAGGAGGGCCUUAUGUACAAUGGCAAGGUCUAUGCUGUGAAAAUCCAUGCAUUUGUGUGUGAUGCCCCAGCAAGGGCUUACAUCAAAUGCAUUAAGGGCCAUACAGCCUAUUUUGGAUGUGAAAGGUGCACUCAAAAGGGUGCAUACUCUGCACUUGACAGGAAAAUCAUUUUUGAUUCCCAUGACAGUCCCUUGCGCACUGAUGAAGAUUUCAGGAGCUUUGCCCAAGAACAUCACCACCAUAGCGAGUCUCCGCUGCAGUGUUUUGGUGUUGGGAUGGUCACACAGUUCCCACUAGACUAUAUGCACCUGGUUUGUUUGGGAGUAAUGAAGAAACUACUCAUUUGUUAUUGGGCUUCUAAAAAGCCAUCAGCUUCAAAAAUGUCAUCACAGUCAAAGCUUCAUGUAUCCACGAUGCUUGCUAGUUUUAACUUGUAUGUUCCAAGUGACAUGAAGCGCAGGCCACGAUCACUGCAAUUUUUGGAGCAGUGGAAAGCGGUUGAGUUUAGGAACUUUCUACUGUACUAUGGACCACUUGUCCUCCAAGGAAAUUUGGAAAGAAAGUUUUACGACCAUUUUAUGAAGCUUAGUGCUGCUAUUGCUAUCCUUGCAUGCCCAGAUUACGCAGUGCACAACGUGGACUUGGCGGAGCACCUUCUUCAAGAGUUUGUAGCUGAGGCUGGCUCCCUAUAUGGAAAGGGGAUCUAUGUCUAUAACGUGCACUCAUUGUUGCAUCUAGCUGACGAUGCCAGAAGAUUUGGCCCUCUUGAUGACUUUUCAGCCUUCGUUUUUGAAAACUUCCUUUAUAAACUUAAGACCCUAGUAAGGACGAAGGCUCGAGCUCUUCAGCAGGUUAUCAAGCGCCUCAGUGAGAAACGCUUUCUUAGUAAUGUUUCCACAGGUUCUCUCAAUUCAUACCCAAGACUGUCAGGAGAGCACUCUAAUGGACCUGUGCCACCAGGGUUUCAAGGCAGACAGUACUCUUUGCUAGAGUUUGAAGGAACUGUGCUAAAGCUUGGCAGGCUGGAUAAUUGUGUCCAGCUUAAAGAAGCUCACAUUGUAUUAGUAACUAAUAUGUUGCAAUCGGUGUCGGGGGCCAGCAUCUGUGGGCACUAUUUCACAACUUUGGCUGACUUGUAUUCGCAACCAUUGCCGUCUUCAGAGCUCCUGGUUUUUGCUGCUAAAGACCUUUCACAAGAUCUUUCUGUGUGGCCUGUUGAUGAAAUUAGAAAUAAAUGCAUGUGCUUGCCAAGCGGAGGAGAUAAUUAUGCAGUAUUUCCUCUAUUGCACACAUGCCAUGGUUUGGUCCACUGAAAUGAAUGGACUAAAUGAGACAAGUAUAGCCUGUGCUGGUAUACUUGCUAAUUUAAACUGUUCAUUUCAUUGGACCUGCUCUUCUCAAGGUCAUGAGAUUGAAUCCUUGCCACAGUGGCUACAUUUUGAUGGAGUGAAAAUGUGUGUGAUGUCAGUGCAUGUUAUAAAGAACACUGAGUGGUCAAAAAUUAAUUGGCAGCCUUCCGCUUUUGUGUUCUAAAAAAUCCAUGUGCAGCUUCGAAAUGUGAAACCUCUCAUUCCACCAUAUCAUUACCUGCAGUACAAGUGUAGCAGUUGCAUUGCUGAAUAAUAGGAAAGGCAAUAUUUUCGGGGAUCACUGGUUGAUUUCGUAAAAUAUAAAACUUGCCUAUCAGGGUAAAUAAGGCACAUGAAUUGAUUCACAAUGACGUGAGUUUAAAGGCGGGCGAGAGGCAUAUAGUGGAGGGCUGCUGAUAAAUUUUAACCACCAGUGGUUCUUUAAUCUGCACUGACAUCACUCGCCACAUACAUGUUUUUCACAUUUCACCUUCAUCAAACUGCACCCACCGUGGCUAGGAUUCCAUCGCAUUAAUUCAGUUUUCUUUGUUUUAUAAUUUCAGGGGGGAAGACAUACAGCAUCGUUCUUUUUGAAGAUGAAGAUGAAGUUUCCGUCGUGCCCACUUCGUGGAUUUCAGAAAACACAGUUAGGUGGCCACCAUUUAAGAGCACCGCAAAGAUAACUACUGCCAUCAAAGAGCAACAACCACCAUCAAGCGACUGGACUAGCUACAGAUGUCGAGUGUUGUGGACAUGUGCCAUGCUUGGAAAGUUGCUCAAGGAGGUGAAGGGAAUAAGAGCUCAGGUAGAUGGCCUGGAAAAAUCCAUCCAAAGGAUAGAGCAAGCCAUCACAGAAAAUAAACAACCGUGUGCACAACCUGUCAGCAGUGCCAUUCUU